Molecule: ribosomal RNA, 301 nt
Filed under: uncultured bacterium
Lineage: Bacteria
Description: partial 16S ribosomal RNA
Rfam family: Bacterial small subunit ribosomal RNA
Source: RNAcentral
CAGCCGCCACGGGAAUACGUAGGUGGCAAGCGUUGUCCGGAAUUAUUGGGCGUAAAGGGCUCGCAGGCGGUUUCUUAAGUCUGAUGUGAAAGCCCCCGGCUCAACCGGGGAGGGUCAUUGGAAACUGGGAAACUUGAGUGCAGAAGAGGAGAGUGGAAUUCCACGUGUAGCGGUGAAAUGCGUAGAGAUGUGGAGGAACACCAGUGGCGAAGGCGACUCUCUGGUCUGUAACUGACGCUGAGGAGCGAAAGCGUGGGAGCAAAUGGGAUUAGAUACCCCUGUAGUCCCUGUCUCUUAUACA